This is a long non-coding RNA of Saccostrea cuccullata (small rock oyster), 229 nucleotides long. RefSeq lists it as uncharacterized. The record is from RefSeq and is a predicted model, not a curated record. Lineage: Eukaryota; Metazoa; Mollusca; Bivalvia; Ostreida; Ostreidae. The transcript has 2 exons.
UCUAAAUACUCUAUAGCACUCCCUGCAAUCAAAAUAAAUUUGAAUGUAACCAUGCCUUUACAUGUUCUGGAUUCAUGAAUUGCAUAGAAAGAAGAUGCAAUACCAAUGGACGAAUCAGAAGAUAUCCCACUCCAGACCCUAAACCGAUUGUCAGGAAGAUCCACACAUUAUACGUCAUCAGUGACAUCACUAGUAAACAGCAGACGUAGACACGGAACACGUGUAGAAA